Non-coding RNA from Ictidomys tridecemlineatus (thirteen-lined ground squirrel), 3228 nucleotides. The record is from RefSeq and is a predicted model, not a curated record. Lineage: Eukaryota; Metazoa; Chordata; Mammalia; Rodentia; Sciuridae.
CUCCUUGCAAUCUUCUCAGACAUUCAGACCUGCCAGGAGCUAAUUAACUGCUCUGGCAGUGGGAAGAUGUGGCAGUGUGAUUCACGGUAGCUGAAUGGCUGCAAGGUAUUUAAUUUGAACAAUAGAUGAAUUAAAGGGCAGCAGUUAGCCAGAGUAUCAGCAGAUAGAGUAUGCCUACCUAAAUGGCUCUUAUUCAAAUUCAAAAUUGCCUGCCUCAAGAUUUAUAUUGGGAAUUUUUUUAAAAAACAUUAAGAUGGUCUUACAGUGCAGAUACCAGCAAAAGAAGACAUCCCUUGGUAAAAUUCUGCUUGGGGAAGUGUACCUUCGUAUUUCUGGCAUGAAGAGUGCAAGAAUUAUGAGUUGCAGGAGGCUUCUACCACAAUUUCAAAGGAGAGCCUGGAAGUCCAAGUGGCAUGUGGCAAGGUCACCAUCCUUGCAAGUUCUCUAACAGAUGAGUGUUUGCAGAUGUGAGAGUGAAGCCAAAGCUGCAAUUUGGAUGGCUGCAGGGAAGAAAGUGCAGCAGUACAGAAAACCUGUUGAGGAAAAGGUAAAGCCCAUGUGCAAAACCUCUCCCAGAGUAUGGCCUGUAGGAGUCAAUCAGUAAGGCCAUAGAAGUGUACUGUCUAGUCCUUGGGAGCUCAUAUUCUGCUAGAUUAUGCCCCAGAUGCCCAUCAUGGAGACAGGAUCUGAUUCUGAUGAGUUUCAAUCUUGUUUUGGUUCAGUCUUCCUUACCUUACUGUGUAUUUGUUACUCCUUUCUAUAAUAGUAAUAUGAACUUUGUGCAAUUGUAUCUUGGAAAUAUACAACUUGAUUUUUUUUCCAAUGGCUGUAUUUGCCUUCAGUUUGAGAGGGGACUUUGAACUCGGACUUUUGAAUUAUGCUGAGAUGGUUAAGCUUUGGAGAUGGACCAAAUUCAUUUAGUAUUAUGAGAUGAACAUGAACCUUUGAGGACCAAGGAUGGAAUGCUAUGGUUUUGAUAAAGGUCCCCUAAAGGUCCCCAACCUGUGGUGUUAUUGGAAAGUAGUAGAGCUUCAAAGAGGUGAAGUUAUAUCACUGGGGACCUACCCUUAAAGGAAAUGUUGGAACUCCAAUCUCUUUCCUUUCUUCUUUGAGUCCUGACACCAUGAUAUGAACUUCUUUCAUCACAUGCUUUUGUCAUGAUAUACAGCCUUGUCACUAUCCUAAGAGCAACAGGGACAUCUGACCAUGAUAGAAACAUCCAAAACUAUGAGCAAAAUUAGACUUUUCCUCUUUAUAAAUUGAUUAUCUCAGAGACUGGUAGUGUAGCUCAAUCUUAGAAUACUUGACUAAAAUUUGUAAGUCCAUGGAUUUAAUUCCCAGCCCUGCAAAGACAAUACACAACAAAGGAAAACAACAAAAGAGAUGACCAGAGAUUAAAUGAAAAAUUCAGACUGCAAAUUGCUAUGUUAUUGUAAUACUGUUUCAUAGUUUUACUUUUUAUUUGAAAAAUUAUAAUAUCUUUCCUGAACUACCAAAUUUUGUUGAUAGUGGAGUGGUGAGACAUAACUCUAAAUGAGGGACUGAAAGAUAUAGAACACAAAUCAGGAUAUAAUUGCUACAUGAAAUCUCCACAAGCAUAUAAACUCACCCAAAAUCUAAAUAAAACACAGGAACUAAACAUAGGAACUAAAAUUACAUGAUUUUUUAAUCUUCUGGAGACUCUCCUUCAAGGUUCUGUGAAUACCCAUUCAUUUCCUUUUCCAAAUGCACUCAGCCCUUAUCACCAUGACUAUGUGAUUGACAGGUGGUAGUUCCUGCAGGGAAGGACAAUGUGGGCAGUGAUGAUGAAUUGACUUAUAGUUCAUGCAGAAGUUGAAUAACCUUAUGCACCUCAUUAGAAGUUUGAAUAAACACAAGUUUUAGUUUAUUCUGACAACUCAGCAAGAAACCACAUCAGCAAGAAUGAAAUGGGCCUCUAGGUAUGGGGGCAUGACAGUAAUAGGAAGGUAGUUUUCUUCCUUACACGAUAAAUAUAUUUUCUAGAUGUUUUUAAUACUUAAAAACUACUCCUGAGGAGAACAUAAUCUGCAACUCUAAAUCAUUGGCACAUAACCUGAAGAUUAGAGAAUAAAAGGAAUUUUAAGUAUGUAUCAAAGUUUAUUGUUAGUUUUAUGAUAGACUAAAUGAAAUAUAAAAAAGCAACUCUAUAGCUGCAGAAAACAUAAAUGGGUAAAUCUGACCUAAACACCAUAGCACAGGGCCAAGUGGGUGAAGUAGAUCAUUCUGACCAUCCUAAGUGCUCCAUGGGCUUUAAAUAUUUUAUACCUUCCCUAUUUGUUAAUGUUCCUGGUCAAACUAGGAUAUAAAUUGGAAUUCAGCAUGCUGGCUGCAGCUAUAGCUCAGGAAAUCUAGCAUGUAUUUAAUAGACAAGGGAUAAAACAAGCUAGUUUUUAAACUUGGUUCUCAGUCACCUAUUUUUAAACAUAAUAUUUUUUAAACCUUUAUGCCUUCAUUAUUUUGUUGCAAAUUAAUCCCAUCAUCAUUAUAUAAAUUCAAACACGACAGAAUGUAAACUAUAUAAAGUACAAAGUGCAAGACCUCUUUGCUUAACCACUCUUUUCUCUUGCCCAGAAAAUCAAUUAACAAUUGGUUAUGUGGCAUUACAGGUUCUUUAUAUACAUAUUUUGCUUUCACAAAAUUAGCAUUCAUUAUAACAUGAGAUUUCCAUAAUGAGCUUUUGGUCAAACAGUCACUGUCUAAGAAUAUUUUGGUCUAUAAGGAUGGAUUUCUACAAUAAUUCCUGAACCUUCCAUCUUGUGCAAUAACUUCUGAGAGUGAUUAAAGUAGAAAAUAAAUUAUAUUAUUUAAGUAGUAUAUAAUACCUUGAAUGAAAAAGAGACUAAAAAGAUGCCAAGACUAUAAAGAUACAAAAUGAAUACAAUAAACAUUGACAUGGUUUAUUGUCAUGAGCCGUCCAUGGGCUGUGUGUGCAUUAUGUUGCACAUAGUGUUGCACACUAAUGGAGGGAUAAAUCUGGCAUUGGGAACCUCCUAUGGUACCCCCACAGAGAUUGAACACCUGAUACAAGUGAACUUACCCUUCAACCUCUGCCAGAAAUCCCACACAGCACCUGAGACAGGAAGAUGUGACCUGCCAAGAUGUCAAUCAACCUGCUGACUGCAAGACACCAUAAAGCAAGACUUUGCCCUUAAAAUUUAUCCCUGCCUUUAAUGUUCCCCAAUAUAAAUAAAGCAAGCACAGGCUCCA